CCUACGGGCGGCAGCAGUGAGGAAUAUUGGUCAAUGGACGAGAGUCUGAACCAGCCAAGUAGCGUGAAGGAUGACUGCCCUAUGGGUUGUAAACUUCUUUUAUAUGGGAAUAAAAUGUUCCACGUGUGGGAUUUUGUAUGUACCAUAUGAAUAAGGAUCGGCUAAAUCCGUGCCAGCAGCCGCGGUAAUACGGAGGAUCCGAGCGUUAUCCGGAUUUAUUGGGUUUAAAGGGAGCGUAGGUGGAUUGUUAAGUCAGUUGUGAAAGUUUGCGGCUCAACCGUAAAAUUGCAGUUGAAACUGGCAGUCUUGAGUACAGUAGAGGUGGGCGGAAGUCGUGGUGUAGCGGUGAAAUGCUUAGAUAUCACGAAGAACUCCGAUUGCGAAGGCAGUUCACUGGACUGCAACUGACACUGAGGCUCGAAAGUGUGGGUAUCAAACAGGAUUAGAUACCCUGGUAGUC
This 460-nucleotide ribosomal RNA is filed under the name uncultured bacterium. Its description in RNAcentral is "partial 16S ribosomal RNA". It matches the Rfam family "Bacterial small subunit ribosomal RNA", at positions 338 to 795 of the family's 1533-position model. The record is from RNAcentral.